GAUGAACGCUGGCGGCGUGCCUAAUACAUGCAAGUCGAGCGAACGGACGAGAAGCUUGCUUCUCUGAUGUUAGCGGCGGACGGGUGAGUAACACGUGGUUAACCUACCUAUAAGACUGGGAUAACUUCGGGAAACCGGAGCUAAUACCGGAUAAUAUUUUGAACCGCAUGGUUCAAAAGUGAAAGACGGUCUUGCUGUCACUUAUAGAUGGAUCCGCGCUGCAUUAGCUAGUUGGUAAGGUAACGGCUUACCAAGGCAACGAUGCAUAGCCGACCUGAGAGGGUGAUCGGCCACACUGGAACUGAGACACGGUCCAGACUCCUACGGGAGGCAGCAGUAGGGAAUCUUCCGCAAUGGGCGAAAGCCUGACGGAGCAACGCCGCGUGAGUGAUGAAGGUCUUCGGAUCGUAAAACUCUGUUAUUAGGGAAGAACAUAUGUGUAAGUAACUGUGCACAUCUUGACGGUACCCAAUCAGAAAGCCACGGCUAACUACGUG
This 497-nucleotide ribosomal RNA is filed under the name uncultured bacterium. RNAcentral's name for it is "partial 16S ribosomal RNA". It matches the Rfam family "Bacterial small subunit ribosomal RNA", at positions 28 to 507 of the family's 1533-position model. The record is from RNAcentral.